UGAGGAAUAUUGGUCAAUGGGCGGGAGCCUGAACCCGCCAAGCCGCGUGAGGGAAGAAGGCCCUAUGGGUCGUAAACCUCUUUUGUCAGGGAACAAAAGCGAGUAUGUAUACUGGUCUGAGUGUACCUGAAGAAAAAGCAUCGGCUAACUCCGUGCCAGCAGCCGCGGUAAUACGGAGGAUGCGAGCGUUAUCCGGAUUUAUUGGGUUUAAAGGGUGCGUAGGCGGCGGUGCAAGUCAGCGGUAAAAGCCCGGGGGCUCAACCCCGGCGAGCCGUUGAAACUGCAGUGCUAGAGAAGGCGAGAGGUACGCGGAAUGCGCAGUGUAGCGGUGAAAUGCUUAGAUAUUGCGCAGAACUCCGAUUGCGAAGGCAGCGUACUGGCGCCUGACUGACGCUGAGGCACGAAAGCGUGGGGAUCGAACAGGAUUAGAUACC
This 434-nucleotide ribosomal RNA is filed under the name uncultured bacterium. RNAcentral describes it as "bacterial SSU rRNA". It matches the Rfam family "Bacterial small subunit ribosomal RNA", at positions 355 to 786 of the family's 1533-position model. The record is from RNAcentral.